Molecule: ribosomal RNA, 239 nt
Filed under: Heteromysis sp. JM-2004
Lineage: Eukaryota; Metazoa; Arthropoda; Malacostraca; Mysida; Mysidae
Description: partial 28S ribosomal RNA
Source: RNAcentral
UCCUGUCUGGUCAAGAAAACGAUAUUGUGUGCAGCUGGCGGCGGAAAGGCAAAAUUAGAGUCGUACCUUGAGUCGACUAGCUACCAGCCCAUGUGUACCGAAUUCGGGGGCCAAAACUCGAUCCGUUUCGUCCCCUUCUUUUAGCACAGACCACCCAAUGCCACUGUAGUUGCACCGAAUCGUUUGUAGACGACUUACGUGCCAGCCGAGGUGUUGUACCUGGUAGAGCAGCUUCCACA